RNAcentral lists this ribosomal RNA (465 nucleotides) under Vreelandella stevensii. RNAcentral's name for it is "partial 16S ribosomal RNA". It matches the Rfam family "Bacterial small subunit ribosomal RNA", at positions 338 to 795 of the family's 1533-position model. Lineage: Bacteria; Pseudomonadati; Pseudomonadota; Gammaproteobacteria; Oceanospirillales; Halomonadaceae. The record is from RNAcentral.
CCUACGGGAGGCUGCAGUGGGGAAUAUUGGACAAUGGGGGCAACCCUGAUCCAGCCAUGCCGCGUGGGUGAAGAAUGCCCUCGGGUUGUAAAGCACUUUCAGUGAGGAAGAACGCCUGGUGGUUAAUACCCAUCAGGAAAGACAUCACUCACAGAAGAAUCACCGGCUAACUCCGUGCCAGCAGCCGCGGUAAUACGGAGGGUGCGAGCGUUAAUCGGAAUUACUGGGCGUAAAGCGCGCGUAGGUGGCUUGAUAAGCCGGUUGUGAAAGCCCCGGGCUCAACCUGGGAACGGCAUCCGGAACUGUCAAGCUAGAGUGCAGGAGAGGAAGGUAGAAUUCCCGGUGUAGCGGUGAAAUGCGUAGAGAUCGGGAGGAAUACCAGUGGCGAAGGCGGCCUUCUGGACUGACACUGACACUGAGGUGCGAAAGCGUGGGUAGCAAACAGGAUUAGAUACCCUUGUAGUC